RNAcentral lists this RNase P RNA (447 nucleotides) under bacterium. RNAcentral's name for it is "RNase P RNA component class A". It matches the Rfam family "Bacterial RNase P class A". From Rfam's summary of the family: Ribonuclease P (RNase P) is a ubiquitous endoribonuclease, found in archaea, bacteria and eukarya as well as chloroplasts and mitochondria. Its best characterised activity is the generation of mature 5'-ends of tRNAs by cleaving the 5'-leader elements of precursor-tRNAs. The record is from RNAcentral.
UAAAGCAGGCGGGCGGUUGCGUUUGCAAAAGACCCUGAUGUUUUAAACGGAAGGUAAUUUGCGAAUGAGGAAAGUCCGAACACCCUAAGUACAAGAUUGCUUGGGAAAGCCAAGUGCGCGCGAGCGUGAGGAAAGUGCCACAGAAAAGUAAACUACGAGCGCAAGCCGGUGCGCAGGGCGAAAUGAUGAAUUUUGCCCGCAGCACUACGGAGAUAGCACAAGCCGGUGCGAAAGCACCGCAGCAAAGUUCGUACAGGUGCAACGGCGGAGUAAAAGCCCACCGCCCCGAUGGUGACAAAGGGGGCAUGGUAAACCCCAAUCGGGUGCAAGUUCAAGUUUGCAAGAAGAAUUGUACUUUUCGCUUCUUUUAAAGAAGAUUGCAAGAAAGAAACGCAUUAGACAGAUGAUCGCCUUAAACAGAAUUCGGCUUAUAGCCUGCUUUUUAUU